GCACUGGUGGCUCAGGGGGAGAAUUCUUGCUUUUCACGCAGAAGACUUGGGUUCGAUUCCCAGCCAAUGCU
RNAcentral lists this transfer RNA (71 nucleotides) under Loxodonta africana (African savanna elephant). It matches the Rfam family "tRNA". From Rfam's summary of the family: Transfer RNA (tRNA) molecules are approximately 80 nucleotides in length. Their secondary structure includes four short double-helical elements and three loops (D, anti-codon, and T loops). The record is from Rfam by way of RNAcentral. Lineage: Eukaryota; Metazoa; Chordata; Mammalia; Proboscidea; Elephantidae.